UGGGGGAUAUUGCACAAUGGGCGAAAGCCUGAUGCAGCGACGCCGCGUGGGGGAUGAAGGCCUUCGGGUUGUAAACUUCUUUUGCUCUGAACAAGGCGCACCAUGGGGUGUGUUGAGUGUAGGGGUUGAUUAGCGCCGGCUAACUACGUGCCAGCAGCCGCGGUAAUACGUAGGGCGCGAGCGUUGUCCGGAAUUAUUGGGCGUAAAGGGCUUGUAGGUGGCUGGUUGCGUCUGUCGUGAAAGCUCAUGGCUUAACUGUGGGUUUGCGGUGGAUACGGGCUGGCUUGAGUGCAGUAGGGGAGGCUGGAAUUCCUGGUGUAGCGGUGGAAUGCGCAGAUAUCAGGAGGAAUACCGGUGGCGAAGGCGGGUCUCUGGGCUGUUACUGACACUGAGGAGCGAAAGCAUGGGGAGCGAACAGG
RNAcentral lists this ribosomal RNA (419 nucleotides) under bacterium. Its description in RNAcentral is "partial 16S ribosomal RNA". It matches the Rfam family "Bacterial small subunit ribosomal RNA", at positions 355 to 776 of the family's 1533-position model. The record is from RNAcentral.